Molecule: ribosomal RNA, 253 nt
Filed under: uncultured bacterium
Lineage: Bacteria
Description: partial 16S ribosomal RNA
Rfam family: Bacterial small subunit ribosomal RNA
Source: RNAcentral
UACGUAGGGUCCGAGCGUUGUCCGGAGUUACUGGGCGUAAAGCGCGCGCAGGCGGCCCGCGAGGUGUCACGUGAAAGCCCCGGGCUCAACUCGGGAGGGUCGUGGCAAACCGGCGGGCUUGAGGCCGGUAGAGGCGGGUGGAACUCCUGGUGGAGUGGUGAAAUGCGUAGAGAUCAGGAAGAACACCCGUGGCGAAGGCGGCCCACUGGGCCGGUGCUGACGCUGAGGCGCGAAGGCGUGGGGAGCGAACGGG